CCUACGGGGGGCAGCAGUGGGGAAUAUUGCACAAUGGGCGAAAGCCUGAUGCAGCCAUGCCGCGUGAAUGAAGAAGGCCUUCGGGUUGUAAAGUUCUUUCGGUAUUGAGGAAGGGAUGUGUGCUAAUAGUACACGUCAUUGACGUUAAAUACAGAAGAAGCACCGGCUAACUCCGUGCCAGCAGCCGCGGUAAUACGGAGGGUGCGAGUGUUAAUCGGAAUAACUGGGCGUAAAGGGCACGCAGGCGGUUAUUUAAGUGAGAUGUGAAAGCCCCGGGCUUAACCUGGGAAUUGCAUUUCAGACUGGGGAACUAGAGUACUUUAGGGAGGGGUAGAAUUCCACGUGUAGCGGUGAAAUGCGUAGAGAUGUGGAGGAAUACCGAAGGCGAAGGCAGCCCCUUGGGAAUGUACUGACGCUCAUGUGCGAAAGCGUGGGGAGCAAACAGGAUUAGAUACCCGAGUAGUC
Molecule: ribosomal RNA, 465 nt
Filed under: uncultured Haemophilus sp.
Lineage: Bacteria; Pseudomonadati; Pseudomonadota; Gammaproteobacteria; Pasteurellales; Pasteurellaceae
Description: bacterial SSU rRNA
Rfam family: Bacterial small subunit ribosomal RNA
Source: RNAcentral